This 930-nucleotide ribosomal RNA is filed under the name Triticum aestivum (bread wheat). Its description in RNAcentral is "partial small subunit ribosomal RNA". The record is from RNAcentral. Lineage: Eukaryota; Viridiplantae; Streptophyta; Magnoliopsida; Poales; Poaceae.
UGGGUCACCGACCAUAAGCAAAAAGAGGACAUCAUCCAUAACCACUUUGCCGAGGUCAUGGGCAGAGCAAGCACGAGCUGCGUUGACCUUAAUUGGGAUGAGCUUAAUAUCCAGUCGCAUGACUUGGAUGAUCUCGGUGAUCCCAUCACUGAGGAUGAGGUUUUGGCGGCCAUAAAAGCAAUGCCGGGGGACAAGGCUCCCGGGCCGGAUGGCUUCACGGGCAUCUUCUUCAAACGUUGUUGGGAAAUUAUUAAGCAUGAUCUCAUGCGGGUCAUCCAGAGCUUUGACUCGCUCCACACAUCCCACUUGCAAUGGCUCAACUCGACCAAUGUGGUGCUUUUGCCCAAGAAGGAGGGGGCAGAGGGAGUCUCUGACUAUAGGCCUACUAGUCUUGUCCAUGCCAUGGCCAAGAUUAUCGCCAAGAUUCUUUCCCUGCGGCUUGCCCCUCACAUGGACGUUCUCGUCUCCAAUGCCCAAAGUGCUUUCAUAAAGAAGAGGAGUAUCCAUGACAACUUCAUGUAUGUGCGCAAUUUUGCGAGACGGUUGCACAAGCGCAAGACUUCAGCCCUCCUCUUCAAGCUUGACAUUAGAAAAGCUUUCGACUCGGUCAAAUGGGAAUACAUCCUCGACUUAUUACAACGCAAGGGGUUCCCUUGCAAAUUCCGGAAUUGGAUUGCCGCUCUACUCUCAUCUUCCUCUUCGCGCGUUCUCCUCAAUGGGCUUCCGGGCCCCCCGAUCAAGCACGGCCGCGGGUUUCGUCAAGGGGACCCAAUUUCACCUCUACUGUUCGUCCUUGCAAUUGACACCCUUCAACAUAUCCUCGACAUCGCAACUCACAAGGGCAUCAUCCAUAGGAUCCGCGGCCGCGGCGUCAUGAUGAGAACCUCCCUCUAUGCGGACGACGCGGCCAUCUUCAUGGCCCCAAUCAAG